RNAcentral lists this long non-coding RNA (1026 nucleotides) under Homo sapiens (human). Its description in RNAcentral is "HSALNT0192152". Lineage: Eukaryota; Metazoa; Chordata; Mammalia; Primates; Hominidae. The record is from RNAcentral.
GGCUUAUACAGAGCGAUUUAAAUACAAAAAUUUGAAUCAAUCAGCACUACAUCUCUGAAGUCAUGAAGAACAUCAGUGCCCAGGAAGAGAACUGCCAUGAGGGUGGGGUCACUUCAGACAGUCCCCACUGAGUCAAUGCCCAGUGGAGCCAUAGGGUUGGUUCUACCCUCAAGACCUUAGACUGGUAGAGCAACCAGAGUUCUAUUCCAGCACAGAAGAGCUCUGGUGUGGGCCGCACCCAGCAAAACCAAGCAGGGAUGCCUGGAGCCCUGGAGCCCAUUUGCCCAGUAAAGCUGAGAAGAUGGAGCCUCUACCCCACUGUGUCCACAAGGAGACCUCUGCCCCAGUGGGCCUCAAGGGCAGACAACUGAGUCAAAGAAGAUUCUUCCACAACAUUUAUGUUUUGGACUUGUUCAGGACCUAUCAUUUAUUUCUUCUUUCCUAUUUCUUUAUUUUCCAGUGGGAAUGUCUUUCCUUGCCUGUCCCACCAUUAUAUUUUGGAAGCACAUAAUUUGUUUUAUUUCACUGGUUCACAACUGGACAAAAAUUUGCCUCAGAAUGAAUUGUAUCUUGAGUCUCAUCCAUAUCUGAUUUAGAUAAUAUUUAGAUGAGAUGUGAACUUUAGACUUCUAAGUUGAUAUUAGAACAAGUUAAUACUUUUGGGGUAAUUGAAAUGAAUGCAUUUUACAUUUGAGAAGGACAUGCCUUUUUGGGGGAUGGGGCAGAAUGAAAUGGUCUAAAUAUAUCCCCUUAAAAUUCAUAUGUUCAAACCCUAACCUCCAAGGUGAUGGCAUUAAGAAAUGAAGCCUUUGUGAGGUGAUGAGCUGAUGAGGGCAAAUCCUUCAUGAAUGAGAUUAGUGUCCUUAUUAAAGAGUCUGAAACUCCUCACCAAUUAAAGCUGCCAUAUGAAGUUACAGUGAAAAGACAACUAUCUAUGAAACAGAAACUGAGUCCUUACUAGACACUGAAUUUGAGGGUGCCUUGAUCUUGGAUUUUCAAGCAUCCAAACUGUGAGAAAUAAAUUUC